Molecule: long non-coding RNA, 693 nt
Filed under: Fukomys damarensis (Damara mole-rat)
Lineage: Eukaryota; Metazoa; Chordata; Mammalia; Rodentia; Bathyergidae
Description: lncRNA (ENSFDAG00000021784.1)
Source: RNAcentral
CAGACUUGGCAGUGUGGGAACAAGAGAGACACAGCACAUGCUGUCCCUUCUCUCCUGAAGCCAGCAGUCUUGGAGGGACACGACCCAGUCCACAGGCAUUCAAGUUCAGGAAAGGCACAUUGGAGGGUACUUAGCACAAGCUGGGAGGUUGGGAUGGUUUGAAGGUCAAAGUACAAGGGCCAGGUGAGUGUUACACAACUGAAAAGAAGGAGAACAAGUAUGAUCUGAGGCAAAGGAAGGAGCCAUGCAUCAGCUGAGAAGAGCAGAAGUGUGACAUGAUCAGGGAAUAACAAAAUGGCUCAGCAUGGAGGGUGGAUUCAGUCAGCUUUCACCACUGUAGAGCAACAAGUUUACAGAAUGGGUGUACCAGUCAGCCCCUGUGAUAUCCAGGUUCUAUACCAGUUUGGUAAAUGGCAAGAGAAGAAACUGAAAAGCCCAAAGGAAGCUCAUCUAUCAGAUUAAACGGAGGCUUCACCGGAUUUGUGGCAAAUAAAUUGACAAGCGAGGGCACAGAUGACAAGAGAGCGAUAAUUGAUGGAGCCAAGUGGGGGCCUGGUGCACUGGCAGGUCCUGUGGAGGGUGAGCCAAGGACAUCUAUCAAUCAAAUUGGUGACAGCAGCCAGCGAGACUUAAUUGAAGGCAGAUCUCAGUGUCCGUAGGAAGACAAUGGCCCAGGAUUUCUCAAUUAACCCC